AGAGUUUGAUCCUGGCUCAGGACGAACGCUGACGGUGUGCUUUAGGCAUGCAAGUCGAACGAGAAAACCCUUCGGGGUGAGUAAAGUGGCGAACGGGUGAGUAACACGUGGGCAACCUGCCCCUCGCAGGGGGACAACCGGAGGAAACUCCGGCUAAUACCCCGUAAGCUCUACACGCCGCAUGGCGAGUAGAGGAAAGGUAGCUUCGGCCAUCCGGCGAGGGAUGGGCCCGCGGUGCAUUAGCUAGUUGGUGGGGUAACGGCCCACCAAGGCGACGAUGCGUAGCUGGUCUGAGAGGAUGAUCAGCCACACUGGGACUGAGACACGGCCCAGACUCCUACGGGAGGCAGCAGCCAGGAAUCUUGGGCAAUGGGCGAAAGCCUGACCCAGCAACACCGUGUGGGUGAUGAAGGCCUUCGGGUCGUAAAGCCCUGUUGAUAGGGACGAAGGGCGAAGGGUUAAUAGCCCGGAGCUUGACGGUACCUUUCGAGGAAGCCCCGGCUAACUACGUGCCAGCAGCCGCGGUAAUACGUAGGGGGCGAGCGUUGUCCGGAAUUAUUGGGCGUAAAGAGCGUGUAGGCGGUUCGGUAAGUCUGUCGUGAAAUCCUGGGGCUCAACCCUGGGCGUGCGAUGGAUACUGCCGGGCUAGAGGGUGGUAGAGGCGAGUGGAAUUCCCGGUGUAGCGGUGAAAUGCGCAGAUAUCGGGAGGAACACCAGUAGCGAAGGCGGCUCGCUGGGCCACACCUGACGCUGAGACGCGAAAGCUAGGGGAGCGAACAGGAUUAGAUACCCUAGUAGUCC
RNAcentral lists this ribosomal RNA (801 nucleotides) under uncultured bacterium. Its description in RNAcentral is "bacterial SSU rRNA". It matches the Rfam family "Bacterial small subunit ribosomal RNA", at positions 8 to 796 of the family's 1533-position model. The record is from RNAcentral.